AAGGUAAUUCCUGCCCUAUGGUUUAAUCUAAAUGGCUGCAGUAUUUUGACUGUGCAAAGGUAGCAUAGUAAUUAGUUUCUUAAUUGGGAACUUGUAUGAAUGGAUAAAUGAGAUAUAAUUUUUAUUUAAUUAAAAGUUAAAAUUUUAAUUUUAAGUGAAAAUGCUUAAGAUUUUUCUUGGGACGAUAAGACCCUAUAGAGCUUUACAUUUGUUUAUAAAAUUUUCUUUAAUUUUUUUGUAAGAUUUUCUGUUCGUAUGUUUUGCUGGGGUGGUAGAUAAAUUUUAACUUUAUUUAUUAUUUUCAUUAAUAAUUGUUUUUAUUGAUCUUAAUGGAUUAUAAGAAUAAGUUACCUUAGGGAUAACAGCGUAAUUUUAGUGGGGAGUUCAUAUCUAUACUGAUUUUGCGACCUCGAUGUUGAAUUAAGAAAAAACUAAGAAGCAGAAUUCUUAGAUUUAAGUCUGUUCGA
This 467-nucleotide ribosomal RNA is filed under the name Aconurella montana. RNAcentral describes it as "partial large subunit ribosomal RNA". It matches the Rfam family "Archaeal large subunit ribosomal RNA", at positions 1941 to 2653 of the family's 2987-position model. Lineage: Eukaryota; Metazoa; Arthropoda; Insecta; Hemiptera; Cicadellidae. The record is from RNAcentral.